CAAUAGCGUAUAUUAAAGUUGUUGCGGUUAAAAAGCUCGUAGUUGGAUUUCUUCCAGGGGCAGUCGGUCCACACUAUGUGUGCGUAUCUGAUUUGACUUUGGAAUCCUCUUGGGGAACAUUUGUGCGCUUCAUUGCGUGCUAUGGUAUUCAAGACUUUUACUUUGAGGAAAUUAGAGUGUUCACGGCAGGCAAUCGCCCUGAAUACAUUAGCAUGGAAUAAUAAUAUAGGACUUUGGUUCUAUUUUGUUGGUUUCUAGAGCUAAAGUAAUGAUUAAUAGGGACACUUGGGGGCAUUCGUAUUAUCACGUCAGAGGUGGAAUUCUUGGAUUGUGUUACGACGAACUACUGCGAAAGCAUUUGCCAAGGAUGUUUUCAUUGAUCAAGAACGAAAGUAAGGGGAUCGAAGAUGAUCAGAUACCAU
Molecule: ribosomal RNA, 422 nt
Filed under: uncultured eukaryote
Lineage: Eukaryota
Description: SSU rRNA
Rfam family: Eukaryotic small subunit ribosomal RNA
Source: RNAcentral